Small nucleolar RNA from Peromyscus maniculatus bairdii (prairie deer mouse), 92 nucleotides. NCBI's taxonomy places the organism in Eukaryota, Metazoa, Chordata, Mammalia, Rodentia, Cricetidae. The record is from Ensembl.
UAACCCCCAUGAUGUCCAGCACUGGGCUCUGACCACCCUGAUGGUGUGUUGCGUGACCCCGGGACCUUUGACUCCGGGCUUCUGAGGGGUUU